UACGUAGGGUGCAAGCGUUGUCCGGAAUUAUUGGGCGUAAAGAGCUCGUAGGCGGUUUGUCGCGUCUGCUGUGAAAAUCCAGGGCUUAACCCUGGACCUGCAGUGGGUACGGGCAGACUAGAGUGCGGUAGGGGAGAUCGGAAUUCCUGGUGUAGCGGUGAAAUGCGCAGAUAUCAGGAGGAACACCGGUGGCGAAGGCGGCGACCUGGACAGGUACUGACACUCAACUACGAAAGCGUGGGGAGCAAACAGG
Molecule: ribosomal RNA, 253 nt
Filed under: uncultured bacterium
Lineage: Bacteria
Description: partial 16S ribosomal RNA
Rfam family: Bacterial small subunit ribosomal RNA
Source: RNAcentral